RNAcentral lists this ribosomal RNA (516 nucleotides) under Triticum aestivum (bread wheat). RNAcentral's name for it is "partial small subunit ribosomal RNA". The record is from RNAcentral. Lineage: Eukaryota; Viridiplantae; Streptophyta; Magnoliopsida; Poales; Poaceae.
AUGUCAAUCCUGGCUAUGGGUAACGUCAAAAAAUUUCGGGACGGUCUGCCCAUAGGAUUGCAACAACAUCAGACACUUCAUGUCCAUCAAAGGCAAGAUGAAUUCACCUGUGUACGCUCUGUCUUAAAUGCUAUCAUUGAUGAUUUGAGUGGUCCGUCUAAGAAGCAGAUUGAAUCUGUGUCGCUGACGUUACUUAUGAAUGCUUUGGCAAAAUGUUGGUCUGGACACAAAGACUUACUGAUGGUCGGGCGAAAUUAUGCUGCCAAAGUUUUUGAGCUGAUUCUAAAGCUCCUACAUGAUUGUUACACUGUUUGUGGUGUAAACACGGCUGAGUCUUGCCACUGUCUGCCACAUAUUCUGUAUAGCAUUGAAGUGAAAUCAUAUAUGCUCACCUUCUUAUUUCCCGUCCUUAGUUUAGGAAAGUGGAAAGUUUUUUCCUUUUAUUUUAGGAAUUUUGGGAACAGAACAUUUCAACAAAGGAAGUCUUUCACCGGUCAAACAAGACGUAAGACUUAA